ACCGUCAAUGUGUGUAAAUUCGAAAAUGGCAGAUUUUCCAGGAUUAAACUAUCCAUUCGUGAACUUUCAAUCGUUACAAUUUCAAUUGACGAAUUAGUUCCAGCGCAGAGGACAUUGGAAUCUUGGACUAAAAUCUUCGUCAACAACAGCGCCACUUCUUCUGUCUCAAGCCCUAAUUUCUAGAAUAACACCACUUCUGGUGGCGACGAAGUCUAGCACAGUCUGAUCCACUUUGUCAAAAGAAGCAAUCAGUGACAUGGGCCCCGGAUGUGUAUGAUCUAGCUCCAACAGAGUUGUCACAUGCAUUAUCAGACAAGAGUCAGAGCCAUCAAAGCAAUAGGAAGAAGUUUGGGAAAAACAAGCAGAAAUGAAGAUGGUUUUGGUGGUGGAUUCCUGCCCUAUGGUAGUGCUUCCCACUGUUUAUUGUGCCAUUUGGUGAAGGCUGAUGGUUGGGUAGGUAUAUCUGCCAAUUCCGAGUCCUGUGGAUUGGGGGUGCCAAAGGAAGAUGUCGCAUGAGAUCACACAUGGAUAACUGUGAUGGAUUGUAAGGUUCACACUGGGCGCUUGACAGAGUUUUGAGGCUUUUCUUGCAAUAGGAAUUGUCUACAGAUGAGAAUAUAUUCAAACCAUCUGAUGUUGAACAGGCUUUGUGGAGUUCUUCCAUAGCUGCCAAAUUCAAAAUAUUAUCUACUAAUUUAUAUGACGUUCAGUUGGACAAAAGGUCUGCAGGAUAGAGCAAACGGUAAUAGAGCUCCGGUUUGUUGUCAACUCUGGUUACUCACUAUAUAUUAUCAAUUUUUUUCCUUUCUAUUUGUAGGCUCCCUACUAAGCAUCUUUAUGUAUCCAAAUUAAAUGUUAAACUUGUUUAUUUUGUUCUCAUAUAAUUUCUGAUCAUUUGCCAUAUUUUACUACGACCAGAAAAUGAUUAUUUGUUGUUGGUAAAAGUGUCAUGAACUCCUUAGAUCAAUCUAAUGGCUUACAGAUACCACAAGGAGCAAGGCUAGUAACUUGCUCUGUGUUUGCUUAAGAUA
This is a long non-coding RNA of Olea europaea var. sylvestris, 1031 nucleotides long. RefSeq lists it as uncharacterized. NCBI's taxonomy places the organism in Eukaryota, Viridiplantae, Streptophyta, Magnoliopsida, Lamiales, Oleaceae. The record is from RefSeq and is a predicted model, not a curated record. The transcript has 3 exons.